UACAGGGGGUGCAAGCGUUAAUCGGAAUUACUGGGCGUAAAGGGUGCGUAGGUGGUUUAGUAAGAUAUCUGUGAAAUCCCCGGGCUUAACCUGGGCGGGUCAGAUAUAACUGCUGAACUCGAGUAUAGGAGAGGGUAGUGGAAUUUCCGGUGUAGCGGUGAAAUGCGUAGAGAUCGGAAGGAACACCAGUGGCGAAGGCGGCUACCUGGCCAAAUACUGACACUGAGGCACGAAAGCGUGGGGAGCAAACAGG
Molecule: ribosomal RNA, 253 nt
Filed under: uncultured bacterium
Lineage: Bacteria
Description: partial 16S ribosomal RNA
Rfam family: Bacterial small subunit ribosomal RNA
Source: RNAcentral